RNAcentral lists this ribosomal RNA (369 nucleotides) under Desulfovibrio desulfuricans. RNAcentral describes it as "bacterial SSU rRNA". It matches the Rfam family "Bacterial small subunit ribosomal RNA", at positions 380 to 765 of the family's 1533-position model. The record is from RNAcentral. Lineage: Bacteria; Pseudomonadati; Thermodesulfobacteriota; Desulfovibrionia; Desulfovibrionales; Desulfovibrionaceae.
AGCCUGACCCAGCAACGCCGCGUGCGCGAUGAAGGCCUUCGGGUCGUAAAGCGCUUUUCUGAGAGAUGAGAAAGGACAGUAUCUCAGGAAUAAGUCUCGGCUAACUACGUGCCAGCAGCCGCGGUAAAACGUAGGAGGCGAGCGUUAUCCGGAUUCACUGGGCGUAAAGCGCGUGCAGGCGGUUCGGUAAGUUGGGCGUGAAAUCUCCUGGCUUAACUAGGAGAGGUCGUUCAAUACUACCGGGCUUGAGAGUGGUANNNGAAGAUGGAAUUCCAGGUGUAGUGGUGAAAUGCGUAGAUAUCUGGAGGAACACCAGUGGCGAAAGCGAUCUUCUGGACCAUUUCUGACGCUCAGACGCGAAAGCUAGGG